AACGGUCUAUACCUGCGGUACCUGCGGAGGGAUCAUUAACAAAUCUUUCUUGCGGGUCUGGCUGGGCCUGGAGGUCGUCAUUCGUUAGGGUGAUGGCUGGCUGGCCGGCCAGAUCGCGCACAUUGACUCGGGCUUGGUUGGCUGUAAAAAGCUAGCCGAGUCUUGAGACAACAUUCACGCUUGUUGGGUUUGACUGAGUCUAUGUAUGUGGCUUAAAAAUGACAACUUUUAACAAUGGAU
This 240-nucleotide unclassified non-coding RNA is filed under the name soil metagenome. Its description in RNAcentral is "partial contains 5.8S ribosomal RNA, internal transcribed spacer 2, and large subunit ribosomal RNA". The record is from RNAcentral.